RNAcentral lists this transfer RNA (73 nucleotides) under Stegodyphus mimosarum. It matches the Rfam family "tRNA". Rfam says of the family: Transfer RNA (tRNA) molecules are approximately 80 nucleotides in length. Their secondary structure includes four short double-helical elements and three loops (D, anti-codon, and T loops). Lineage: Eukaryota; Metazoa; Arthropoda; Arachnida; Araneae; Eresidae. The record is from Rfam by way of RNAcentral.
GCUCCUGUUGCCUAAUGGCUAAGGCGCUAGCUUCUGGAGUCAAAGACUGUGGAUUAAUGUACCACCAGAAGCG